RNAcentral lists this long non-coding RNA (1372 nucleotides) under Macaca fascicularis (crab-eating macaque). RNAcentral's name for it is "lncRNA (ENSMFAG00000059921.1)". The record is from RNAcentral. Lineage: Eukaryota; Metazoa; Chordata; Mammalia; Primates; Cercopithecidae.
ACUGAAGGGGAAUGUAUGUGCAGGAUAACUGGUGUUCACAGAAUCGCCGUGGGUCCCAGUGAAGGAAUGACCAGUGGCCAAGGCUGCACCAGAGGACUGAAAAAUAGGAAACUUAACAAGUCAGGUUGCUGUUUAGCAAAUGCCCAAACACCGAAUGUUUGUUCCAUUCUUAUGUUUCUCAAAGUUCAAAGUCCUGAGCUCAUAUAUCCCACUGACUAAGCAUUGGUUACAGUCUCACUCUGUGACUCCGCAUAGUGGAAGGACAAGGAUUUUGGCCCCUUUAGUUCCGACCCCUGCUUUUAACCAUCCUAUUCAUGAUAUUUUUUUUAGUGAUAGAGAGGUUAAUUUCCUGAAAGGAAACUUGAAUGUUGGGAAGGAAUAAUGAGUUUUGAGUUGCAUACACAAGCACACAUACAGUACACACACACAGGCGAAUUUCCGAUGUGGGAAUGGUAUGGAGGUUUUGGGAAAACCCAACCACAAAAGCUGAUGUUUUUAUGAUGAGAUUGUAAAAUAUAAAGAUUUUAGGACAAGGAGAAGUGAAUAGAAAAGGUACAUCUUUUUUUAAUGUAGGACAUACAUUAAGGAUAAACUGAAAAGAUAGAGGAUCAUAAACAGCAACAGCAAGUUGGUCAUGGACAAUAAAUUCUAAAAACCUUUGUCAUAUCUGGACCAAUGCACAUAAAUUAAACAGUUUUGCGGGCCGGGUAUGGUGGCUUAUGCCUGUAAUCGCAGCACUUUGGGAGGCUGAGGCAGGAGGAUUGCUUGAGCCUAUUGAACUAUGAUGACACCACUGCACUCCAGCCUGGGCAACAGAGCAAGACCCUGCCUUUAAAAAACAAACAAAAACAGUAUUUGGGUCAUAGAUUAUGGAAAUAGAGUGAGUAAUGUGUAAGAACAUCUGAACUUGUGACCUUGAGUCAUUUCAUCUCUCCCUAUGAACUCUAACACUGAGCUUCAGUUAUAUAAACUGUUAAUAUUUGUAAUAUGUUAUGGGUUUGUGCUUUAGUUGGGGAAAGUUUCCAGGGAGAGUGGAUCUAGUGUGUUUUCAAAGUUCAUUUUAAUCUGUUUUGUAAAAAAAUGUAAAACACAUAUAACCUAAAAUUAAGCAUCUUAAUUUCAUCUUAUCUAUUUCUAAUUGUACAAUUCACUAGUGUUACAUAUAUUCACAAUGUUUUGAAGCAGAUCUUCAAAAAAUUUUCAUCUUGUAAAUUUCAAACUCUGUAUACAUUAAGCAACUGUGUUUUCUCCCCUAUCCCCAUCCCCCUGGUAGCCACUGUUCUACUUUUCGUUGUUGUUUUUUUUGUUUGUUUUUUUGUUUGUUUGUUUGUUUUUUGUUUUUUUUGAGACGAAGACUCAUUCUGUCACCCAG